This is an RNA transcript of Solanum dulcamara, 1295 nucleotides long. It is a transcript of the gene named probable prolyl 4-hydroxylase 9, with no coding region annotated. Lineage: Eukaryota; Viridiplantae; Streptophyta; Magnoliopsida; Solanales; Solanaceae. The transcript has 9 exons. The record is from RefSeq and is a predicted model, not a curated record.
UUCAAACUGUACGUGCUAGGUGCUUCCCUUUGGAUACGAAGAUGAAGUCCUCGUAGAUUCCUAUUGAAUCAUAAUUGACCCACUUUCAGACGACUUCCCACCGCCGACGGAAGUCAAAGGUCGUCGGCAUUUGAUCGCCGGACUUAGUGAAAUAAUAACAGUAGUAGUUUUUUUCCCGGCGAUUCCAUUCAAAAUGAAGAGCAGAGGGAAAUCAGUCAUCGGAGGAUGGUGGAACCUAGGCUUGCCUUCCGUAUUUCUCUUAUGUCUCUUCUUCUUCCUCCUCGGAUUAUUCGCUUCUGCUCUCUUCUCUCAGCAGGAUGUACCUAAUGUAAGGCCGAGGGUGCUAGAAUCUGUUGAUAUGGAGAAGGACUUUGAUCCCUUGCCUACCGGUGAGACUGGAGACCAUUCCUUCACUUCCAUCCCCUUUCAGGUUUUAAGCUGGUUCCCACGUGCAUUAUACUUUCCCAAUUUUGCAUCUAUAGAACAAUGCCAGAGCAUAAUUAAGAUAGCAAAGGCAAGUUUGGAACCGUCAUCCUUGGCCCUUCGCAAAGGAGAAACAGAAGAGACCACCAAGGGAAUUAGAACAAGUUCUGGCACAUUUAUUAGUGCAUCAGAAGACAAAACUGGAAUCUUGGAUUUUAUUGAGGAGAAAAUUGCAAAAGCGGCAAUGAUCCCCAAGACACAUGGUGAGGCGUUUAAUGUUUUGCGGUACGAAAUUGGGCAAAGAUAUCAGUCACAUUAUGAUGCUUUUGAUCCUGCUCAAUAUGGCCCUCAGAAGAGUCAAAGGGUUGCAUCCUUCUUAUUAUAUUUAUCCGAUGUUGAAGAAGGUGGGGAAACUGUGUUCCCUUUUGAGAACGCGCAGAACAUGGAUGGUAAAUAUGAUUUCAGCAAGUGUAUUGGUUUGAAAGUGAAGCCACGCAGAGGGGAUGGACUUCUAUUCUACUCACUGCUUCCAAAUGGUACAAUUGAUCUGGUUUGCUGGAAUACAAGGCAAACUUCGUGCCAUCUGUAGCUGCUAGAUUAGAGAUCUGCCACAAUGUACAAUCCCAAAUUAAAAAGCUAAUUGGAUAAACCCCCGAGUUGCUCAAAAACAUGUGUAAGAACCUCACUUCACGGUAGCUGUCCAGUAAUCAGAGGAGAAAAAUGGGUGGCCACCAAGUGGAUCAGGAAUAUAGAACAGGACGAGUAAAUGCCUCUACAUUAUAGUGUUGUUCAUUAUGUAUUUGUUAUAAUUUAAACGGUGUGAAGAAAACAGUUUUGGAGUAAAUAAAUUUAUAGAAUGAGAAUUUAUUUUA